RNAcentral lists this ribosomal RNA (322 nucleotides) under uncultured eukaryote. RNAcentral's name for it is "partial 18S ribosomal RNA". It matches the Rfam family "Eukaryotic small subunit ribosomal RNA", at positions 1470 to 1796 of the family's 1831-position model. The record is from RNAcentral.
CCCUUAGAUGUUCUGGGCCGCACGCGUGCUACACUGAGUGGAUCAGCGGGUCAGGUUACGUGAGAGCGUUUCCUAAUCUUCAAAUCCGCUCGUGAUGGGGAUUGACGGUUGCAAUUUUCCGUCAUGAACGAGGAAUACCUUGUAAGCGCGGGUCAUCAUCCCGCGCUGAAUACGUCCCUGCCCUUUGUACACACCGCCCGUCGCUCCUACCGAUUGAGUGGUCCGGUGAGGCUUUGGGAUCUAAGCGAAAAGAGCGUUUCGCUCCUUUUGCUGGGAGAACUCAGUCGAACCUUAUCAUUUAGAGGAAGGAGAAGUCGUAACA